Molecule: ribosomal RNA, 674 nt
Filed under: uncultured bacterium
Lineage: Bacteria
Description: bacterial SSU rRNA
Rfam family: Bacterial small subunit ribosomal RNA
Source: RNAcentral
AUUGACGAUGGAUCACCAGUGAGUGGCGGACGGGUGAGUAACACGUAGGUAACCUGCCCCGGAGCGGGGGAUAACAUUUGGAAACAGAUGCUAAUACCGCAUAACAACAAAAGCCACAUGGCUUUUGUUUGAAAGAUGGCUUUGGCUAUCACUCUGGGAUGGACCUGCGGUGCAUUAGCUAGUUGGUAAGGUAACGGCUUACCAAGGCGAUGAUGCAUAGCCGAGUUGAGAGACUGAUCGGCCACAAUGGAACUGAGACACGGUCCAUACUCCUACGGGAGGCAGCAGUAGGGAAUCUUCCACAAUGGGCGCAAGCCUGAUGGAGCAACACCGCGUGAGUGAAGAAGGGUUUCGGCUCGUAAAGCUCUGUUGUUGGAGAAGAACGUGCGUGAGAGUAACUGUUCACGCAGUGACGGUAUCCAACCAGAAAGUCACGGCUAACUACGUGCCAGCAGCCGCGGUAAUACGUAGGUGGCAAGCGUUAUCCGGAUUUAUUGGGCGUAAAGCGAGCGCAGGCGGUUGCUUAGGUCUGAUGUGAAAGCCUUCGGCUUAACCGAAGAAGUGCAUCGGAAACCGGGCAACUUGAGUGCAGAAGAGGACAGUGGAACUCCAUGUGUAGCGGUGGAAUGCGUAGAUAUAUGGAAAGAACACCAGUGGCGAAAGCGGCUGUCUGG